GACGAACGCUGGCGGCGUGCUUAACACAUGCAAGUCGAACGAGGUCCAUGAAGUAGCAAUACUUCGGAAGACCUAGUGGCGAACGGGUGCGUAACACGUGAGGAACUUGUCCCGGUCUCUGGGAUAACAGUUGGAAACGACUGCUAAUACCGGAUGACGUCGGAGCGUCGCAUGGCGCGCUGACGAAAGGGUUACCGGAUCGGGAGAGCCUCGCGGCCUAUCAGCUUGUUGGUGGGGUAAUGGCCUACCAAGGCAUCGACGGGUAGCUGGUCUGAGAGGAUGAUCAGCCACACUGGGACUGAGACACGGCCCAGACUCCUACGGGAGGCAGCAGUGGGGAAUCUUGCGCAAUGGGCGAAAGCCUGACGCAGCAACGCCGCGUGCGGGAAGAAGGCUCUCGGGUUGUAAACCGCUUUCAGCAGGAACGAAAUGACGGUACUUGCAGAAGAAGGUGCGGCCAACUACGUGCCAGCAGCCGCGGUAAUGUCGA
Molecule: ribosomal RNA, 490 nt
Filed under: uncultured bacterium
Lineage: Bacteria
Description: bacterial SSU rRNA
Rfam family: Bacterial small subunit ribosomal RNA
Source: RNAcentral